UUUCAUCUCUAACCCCUAAGCUAGGCCACUUUGGGGUACCGCUAUCUCUGGUCUCGGUGGUAAGGCGCUAUCUACGGAGCUACGCCCUCUCCUUGCGCCGCCGCGCCGCUCACGUGCGAACCUGUAACCCCCAAAACCACACGGGGGUGAGAACUAUAUAAAUAUAGUUCCCAGUGGGUACGGCCACCCAAGGGAAGAGCUCGACCCACCAGGUCCGAAGGAGGCAAGCUGCAGGUUAGUUCAAUAAACAGAUAGAUAUGAUAGUAAAAUUAUGCAACUAACAAUACCAUGCAUUGCCUCGCGAUAUGCAAUAAUGCAACUAUAUAGCCAACUAGUAGUUCAAUUGAUACUACUUUCAAUCCUGCUAUCCAUAGCUCAUCCAAUUGACUUCUAAGUUUUCCUCUAUCUUAGAUUCAUGUCAAUUACCAUUCUAAUCAUAAGGUUUCAUUGACCUUUACUGUUUGCUCACAAGGUUUUUAUCUACCUUUACAAUGCACAUAAUUCUCAUGAAUUUAUUACCCAAUCCUCUAGCUGGCCCAUAGGCGCGCCCUCAACUCACAUCUCAAAUCCGUCUAUGGAAGGGGACUCGAACCCCCGAGGGACCGUCUGCGGGACCCCAUAUAGGCUAUCCCUUGGGACCCCAAAUAGGCUAUCCCAAUCGUUUCACGUGCCAAGACUCCGGAGCUCGCACUACUUGUGCGGGGCGACCGCCACAAGCGCUGAACAGACUGUGUGAGUAUGAUCAAAUCCGUUUCCAACGAAGGUACCCGGUCACUAUGACCAACAUGCACAAGUGUUCUUUUAACACUACGUUCUAAUGCCACUCGUCAAGUUGUUUACUUGGUAUACAUAUGCCACUCGUCAAGUAUGUACUUGGUUCACAUGUCACUUGCCAUAAUGCAAUUGUCCCGACUAUACUAGUCAUAUAUCAUCAUAUUCAUCAAUACAAGAUCAAGUUAUUGUUUAACUUAUCUCUAUAGGGUUCUAUGUCACCAUUCCUCUAUUCUCAUGCGUCCUAACUCAAGUGCCAACUCAUGUUGCUACACUACUAUGGAUCAUGCAAGAAUAGAAAUGCGACUAUCUAAUACCCUAUCAUGUAUAUGUAUCAACUAGCAUCUCAUGAUAUGUCAACAUCAUUUAGUAUAUGCCUCAUGUCAUCAUGCAUUUACAUUAUAUGCAUCAAGAAGUGUUAUACUUUCGCUUCGACAUGGAAGUGAGCUAAUAACUUCGGUGAGCACAACCCACCUGUUAGCGCAUUCCGAUUGCUUGUCGACACUUGCAAUCGGCCUCCCGCAGCAUCCGGUGCCCGGUUCUGCCGGAACUUGCAAUUGCGCACCGACCGCGCAUCGCUUCGCAACCUCGGGCAAAAAGGGUCUUCGUUUUGUUGUUACGGUGCCUCAAAUCAGAUUCCAUGAUUUUACGACGUCGCCUCGGCCCUCCCGGCGGACCCGAAGCCUAAACGUCCGUUUCUUUAAUAACUUCGCACCGGCUCCACGAAUCGCCGAACCGUCUUCGCCAACGCGUUCGUUUACCUAUCAAUUAGGUUUACGAAGGGUCAAAUUAGAUCAAACCCCACCUAAUUUGCAAACCCCCAUUUUCACACCUUAGCCUCAACAUAUGCUCCAAACAAUCCAAAUAUUAAGGAUUUAACAAGCUAACUUCACAUUAGAGGCUAUUAGAACCCUUAAAGCUAAGGAUUAAGCCAAAUCCCAAAAGCUUACCCCAAUGUGAACGCCGCAACGAAAACACGUCGCUCCAACGGGCGCACGAAAGCUCAAUCCGUCGCCUCCAACGCGUUCGCAAGCUCGAUCUCCACCAACGCCGCGAAUUUGGGCGAAAGAUCUAGAGAGAUGAGAGAGAUAUUUAGAGAGAGAAAGAGAGGGUUUCUCUCUCCUUCACCAUGAACGCAUGGUAGUGGUGAUGGUGGUCGGCUGAUGGAGAGGGAGAAG
Molecule: long non-coding RNA, 1949 nt
Filed under: Ananas comosus (pineapple)
Lineage: Eukaryota; Viridiplantae; Streptophyta; Magnoliopsida; Poales; Bromeliaceae
Description: long non-coding RNA (ACOM_LNC029069)
Source: RNAcentral